Molecule: ribosomal RNA, 199 nt
Filed under: uncultured bacterium
Lineage: Bacteria
Description: partial 16S ribosomal RNA
Rfam family: Bacterial small subunit ribosomal RNA
Source: RNAcentral
ACGCUCGACACCUACGGGAGGUAGCAGUGGGGAAUAUUGCACAAUGGGGGAAACCCUGAUGCAGCGACGCCGCGUGAGCGAAGAAGUAUUUCGGUAUGUAAGGCUCCAUCAGCAGGGAAGAAGAAAGACGGUACCUGACUAAGAAGCCCCGGCUAACUACGUGUCAGCAGCCGCGGUAAUCUGAGCGGGCUGGCAAGGC